CGGGGUUUGAGGCAGGCACCCCGUCAGACGGCAAUUCGUCCAAGUUCUGC
This 50-nucleotide non-coding RNA is filed under the name unclassified sequences. RNAcentral describes it as "chromate-resist RNA". It matches the Rfam family "chrB-b RNA". The record is from RNAcentral.